This is an RNA transcript of Monomorium pharaonis (pharaoh ant), 1471 nucleotides long. It is a transcript of the gene named retinol-binding protein pinta, with no coding region annotated. NCBI's taxonomy places the organism in Eukaryota, Metazoa, Arthropoda, Insecta, Hymenoptera, Formicidae. The transcript is spliced from 7 exons. The record is from RefSeq and is a predicted model, not a curated record.
UUUACUGCUCGCACUGCUUGCCAGUGCUAGCAACAAAUAUUGCGGAGCCACCGGAAUAUUUGGCAUGUUGGUAGUUAGCAGUUUCAUAUUACAAGUACAUUUUUAUUUUAAUACUUUUAGUUAAAUUAACGAUAGCAGAGGCCUGGUAUUAGUGGAUGUUCAAAAGUACAACAAACCAGGCAAAUGAAUUGACAGUGCUGCAAUGAAAUAACAGCCAUGAGUCAGAGCGUGACGUAUACAUAUACAGCAUCAAUGAGAUACGGAUUCCAAUGUGCAUGCUUUUACGCAAUGUACUUAUAUAACUAUCAAUUAAUCGCGCAACGUGCGUGUAGUUGUUUUUAUAUAUAGACGUUAGUCUCUCCGCGAUGAUAAGGAAUCGCAUUCAUAACCAUGAUAGCAAACAAGUGCUAUGAGAACACUGUACAUGAUAUUUGGCAAGAAAUGACAAGUGAGGAUAAAAGAUAUGCAGCGGAAUAUUUGAAUGAAACUGACGAAAACAAAGAGAACGCCGUGGCGGAGAUUAAACGCUGGAUCGAAGAAAACGAUAAUUUGCCGACGCAAAUUGAUGAUUUUCUUAUUCUACGUUUUUUGAGGGUUUGCAAAUUUGAUCUCGAGAAAACUAAAGUCAGGAUUCAAAAUUAUAAUAAGCAGCGAUCCAAGUUACCGGAAUGGUACAAAAAUAAAGAUCCAUUUCAAUCGGAACUACAAGAGGUGCUUGAUUUGGGGAUGUUUUUGCCUCUGCGGAAACCGGACAAUAAAGGAAGAUUGAUCAUUCUCAUACGCGGUACUCUGCAUGAUCCAAGAAAGAAUAAGAUAUCAGAUUUAGUUAAGAACUAUAUAUUGGCAAUGGAAGCGGCAGUCAAGUUUUAUCCCGCAAUGUCUGUGUAUGGUUGCUCACUGUUAAUAGACGUAUCUAAUCCAACUAUGCGUCACAUUAUUCAAAUUAAACCCUACGAGUUAAUGAAUGUGGUUCAAAUGUGGCAGAGCUGUUAUCCUAUGAGAUUUCAGAAAAUUAUUCUCUUCAACACGUCAAUAAUCGCCGAUUUUAUUGUGAGAAUUUUCAAAUCUUUUAUGUCCAACAAGAUGAAAAGCAGAUUUCACGUCUAUUCAAACGCUCUCCAUUGUUUUGAAGAUAUUCCAGCUAAUAUCUUGCCUGUCGAAUAUGGUGGUACUGAUGAUACACUUCAGGAAUUAACAGAAUUUUGGAAAACAAUUAUCGAAGAAAAUUGCGAUUUCCUUACGAAGGAUGAAAACUACUCAAAAAACUAAAUUUGCAGAGACAGAUUUUAAACAGAUUAUCUAUUAUUAUUGAUAGUGUAAUUAAAUAAAUACAGUUAAGAUAAAUUAUUUAUUAACAAUUAACAAAAGCUAAGAAUUUAUUGGAUUUUAAAAUAAUUUUGUAAGGAAUCGAGCAAAGAAAGGACUGGGAGUUUCUUACCAAUGGCAAAAUAAAAUAACUUUUUACACCAAA